RNAcentral lists this long non-coding RNA (4420 nucleotides) under Chlamydomonas reinhardtii. Its description in RNAcentral is "long non-coding RNA (CREI_LNC001189)". The record is from RNAcentral. Lineage: Eukaryota; Viridiplantae; Chlorophyta; Chlorophyceae; Chlamydomonadales; Chlamydomonadaceae.
GCCCACCGAGCCGACCUCGCACACGCCGUUCGUGAGCCCCUGCGGCUGACAUGCCCGGCCCUGCCCCCUUGGCACCGCAGCCCUGCCGCCUUGGCACCGCCGCCCAUUGCCCCACCCCCAUGCUGCGUGCCAUGUAAGAAUAAAGCCAGGUCCCCAUCAAGCCGCAGCAUAUAUCCCCGCCAAGCCACCACACUCCUCUUGCCGCACGCUACCAACCACCACCAGCACAGGACCGGCACCUGCCUGUCCCCCUGUUUAGUUUGGGCUGAUAUUUACAACCCCCCACCCUCCCCUCCCCACCUUCCCCAUUGCCAACCUCGCCCACCGCGCCGACAUACACGCCGGCACCUCGCUCGUGCCUCUCGAGGCCUCCCAUCUUCCGUAGCUAGAGAUCCCCAUCCACUAGCAUCCACUUGGGCUCCAGCCCACUCCUGAUGCACACGCCAGCAUUAUCCAGGUCUGCAUGGUUUGCAUGUCUGCCUACCGUGCACGCACACCUGCCUAGCUACGCCGACCUACUACCGUCCUCCUCGACCCGACCCGCCGCCGCCGCCGCCUCCCUCUGGCCGCCGUGCCGGCCGCACCAGCAGCUGCUGUUGUGGGUUGCCGCCAGAGCCGCCGCCGCCCUUGCUGGUAGUGGUGGUGGUUGCGGGCUGCUGCGGCGCGGCCGUAAUGACAGCCGCAGCGCCGCCCACGGCACCCACUGCCACUGUUUCCACCGCCACCGCCGGCUGCUGCAGCCGGCGCAGCAGGUAGGCCUCCUGCUCCUCCGGGCUCUUCAGGCCCGCCCACUCCCAGUACGGCAGCACAAGAACGCCGCCGCCCUCCCCGAACGCCCGCCGCAGCUGCCGAAUGCGCAUGGCCGUACCACCGUCAACAGCGGUGGGGUCGCGCUUUAGAUUGGACAGAAAGCGUGCCGGUCCGAGGAGCUCCACCGCCGCCUGCUGCCCGUCACUCAGCCGCACCACCGCAUCCACUGGCGCCAACGCGCCUUGCGCGACCACGCCCGUUUGUACGGACACGACGGCAAGGCCUCCUGCUGCCUCACGCCCCUGGUGCUGCUCAAGCCGCCGCAGCGCUGCGACGACCUGCUUUUGGAUGUCAGAUGUGGGCUUGGCGUUUUCCCUCUCAGCAGUCACCGCCGCUGCCAUCGCCGCCUGCAGGCCGGGGCUGCUCCCCAGGGCCGCCGCAACCUCGCCGCCUAGCUCUUGCUGCGCCUGCCACAGCUGAUUGAGAUUCUCAGUUGUAAAACCCUCCCAACGGCUUACUGCUUCACGGGCUAGCUGAAUGGAUAGCUGCUGCAUGUCGGGAGAAUACGUGCCUCCAAUCACCGCCAUGGCCCACAGGCUGUUUGAUAUGUUUUGGUUGUUUACCGCCUGCCUGUCGCGCUGCAGCAGCUCGCCCAGCCGGCCGCACACCGCCGCCUCCAAGCCAGCGUGCCGCAGCUGCAGCACCGCCAGCGCCCAGAGCGUGUUUGCACAGUUCUGACCACCGGCACUACUGGCGCGCAUGGCUGCUGCUGCUGCACCCGCAUCCAGCAGCUCCGGCGGCGGCUGGUGGCGCAUCAACGCAAGCGCGUACAGCAGGUUGGCCCAGGCCUGAGGCGUCGCACGGGCCAUGACGCCCGGCCGCAUUGCUGCGACCACCGCUGCCGAAGCCCACUGCCGCUGCUCUGCCGGCGCCUCCGGGCCCACCCCAAAUCCGAUCUUGGCCAGGGCCCACGCUGAGUUGCUGAGGUCCUGAGCCACGUACCCGGCAAAUCCCCGACGCACGUCCUCUGCGGCCACUGCCACCACCAGCUCUGCCUGCUCGCCGCCCAGCUGCAGCCCCUCCAGCGCCAGCAGGAUGUUGGACAGAUGCUGCGGCUUGAACGCUUCAGCAUCCUUCGGUGCUCGGAGCUGCCGCAGCGCCUCCCCGCACAGCGCCUCAACUGCUGAUCGGUACUCUGGUCCCAUGCAACCCAAAGCCGCAAACGCCCAGAGGGUAUUGGACAGAUGUUGCGUCUCCAUGCUGAGACUGAGCGCCGCUGCCGCCUCUGCCAGCGGCAGCAGGAGUUCCGGUUCCGGGUAACCCAGCUUGGCGCACGCCCAGAGAAUGUUGGACACGUCCUGUGCUGUGAAGCCGUGACCAACCGCCACUCCCAACCGGGAGGCCACAGCUGCCGCCAAGGUCUGCAAGUGCGGAGAUGAGGUGGGGUCCCAGCCUGAGCCCCGCUGCUCCUGGUCUUGCUUGAUCUUGCCGAGUGCGUACAUGACGUUUGUAAGACUUUGAGGUUUUGCAGUUCCAAGAACCUCUGAAUCCAACAGCCGCUCCAGCAGCGCUGCUAUGAGCUGAGCCUCCAUGGCCGAGCCGCCGCUGAUCCCUGCUUUCCCCAGCGCCCACAGCACGAUGCUGCAAUCAACCGCCUUGCGGAUGCGCGGCACGAGCGGCAGGUAGGCCGGCGCAAGCAUGCCGAUAAUGCUGCUGCGUGCUACAGCCGUUUGGCUUGCUCCAGCGCGCGACUCCAGCUGCGUUCAAAACAGUUAUGAGGGACAUACAUGGGGUCAAGUGCUAUAUGCAUGUGUUUGUGCGUGUGCGUGAACAGGUGCGCAUGCAAGUCCUGUGUGGCCAUCUGCGUCGUGAGAACCGGAAGUCCGGGCCGAGAAUGACAACAAUUGGACUCGCCCUCAAUUCUGCACUUUAUUUCUCUGCCCAUUCCCACCUGCACGUUUUAGUCCUCCCUCUCACCUUGCCGCACAGGUUGAACGCCGCACACAUGGUAAUGAAGUCUUUUCGGCCCUCCCACACUGAUAGCCGCUGGCUGAUGAUAGCUUGCAGGUCCUCCAGAGUCCGACACACGGUCAUGUCAUCCGCGGGGUCACGCCCGCUGCCCCUGCUUCUGCCGCUGGCGCGGCUGCCAUCGCCUGCCCUGCCUCCGCCGCUUCCCCUACCCGCCGCCGCCUGCACUAUUGGCCGCCCGAGGCGGGAGCUACUGCUGCCGCAGAGCACUACCGCCGUCGAGACGCGCAGUGGGGAUGAGCUGCUACUGUUGAGUGCUGGGACAGAAGUAGCGGCGGCAGCGCGCGGUGAGCUGGGGCCGGUGUCGGCAGCGGUCCGAUGCAUGCCAUAAACGAACAGUCUUCUAAACGCGCACGCCGGUGGCGGUGCCUGGAGACGGGCUGAUAACGAAUGGCUACAGCCAUGUACGCUGUGCCUGUGCGCACCAGCGGGAGAGCCCGCGACGACGCGCAGGGCGAGCAUCUCGGGCCUCCUCACGGCGGCGACCUGAGCUAUAGCGACUCUAUCCGUCUACGUGUCUGAGCACUGCAAAUGCAUUAGGCUUGCAUUUGUGGGAGAAUAACGCAAGGAACGAAAGGUCAGGUGCGUGUAGGUCGCUGGGCCAAAGCCGCCUGAGUAGCUGUGGCUUGGUAUGGAUGAUAAAGCAACUGAAUCAAUUUGCCACCGGUGUUGAGGCGAGGGCGACCUGACCGCGAAAUACACGGCCCGAGGGCACGCCCCGUAUCAACACCCCUCGCGACCUCCAAACACGUGCACUGAACCGCGAAGCCCUCCCCCAAGCCUAUCGCGGCUGCUAUUCCCAUGUCCUCCUCCCCAACCAUUCUGCAUACAGGCUCUGGCGUGAGUCCCUGCCCGCGUCAUUUGACACCCGUCGACCACGACUGAGGUGCAACGCAUGUCGCUUACAAUUCCAACAUCCCGCCCGACACGAGAGGGGCAGAAACGGCGGGGCAGACGGCCAGCCUCUUGAACAUGAGCAUAGCAGUGCCAUAGCGCACAUUGGGUCCCCGCCUGCUUCACCUGGCCACCUUUGCUGAUUUGUCUGACAUCCCUGUCUACACACUUUUAUCCGCCCACGCUUGAGACGUCCUCCUCAGCGCGCAGGCUUCACGGUACCAACCGUGCGGUAUCAUCGCUACAUGAUGAGUGCACUGCCCCAACCAUUGAAGCAUCACAAGGUGCUUGCCUGCCGCCGCCGCCGCUGAUACGUACACGAUUGCUGCCACACAACCAACACAUCACACCCAACAAUCACAACAACAAAACAACUGAGACCCGCCGCCGCGCAACGCACACUGCUGUACACGCCCCAGGGCCGAGAACACAACGCAACACAAGCACCUGACAUGCCUCAUCCAGGCAUGCGUCACUCAAUCGCCCACCGAGCCGACCUCGCACACGCCGUUCGUGAGCCCCUGCGGCUGACAUGCCCGGCCCUGCCCCCUUGGCACCGCAGCCCUGCCGCCUUGGCACCGCCGCCCAUUACCCCACCCCCAUGCUGCGUGCCAUGUAAGAAUAAAGCCAGGUCCCCAUCAAGCCGCAGCAUAUAUCCCCGCCAAGCCACCACACUCCUCUUGCCGCACGCUACCAACCACCACCAGCACAGGACCGGCACCUGCCUGUCCCCCUGUUUAGUUUGGGC